GAUGAACGCUAGCGGCAGGCUUAACACAUGCAAGUCGAGGGGCAGCAAGGGUAGCAAUACCUGUUGGCGACCGGCAAACGGGUGCGGAACACGUACAGAAUCUACCUUUAUCUGGGGCAUAGCCCGAAGAAAUUCGGAUUAAUACCCCAUGGUAUAUUUGAGUGGCAUCACUCGACUAUUAAAGUUACCAACGGUUCAAG
Molecule: ribosomal RNA, 200 nt
Filed under: uncultured bacterium
Lineage: Bacteria
Description: partial 16S ribosomal RNA
Rfam family: Bacterial small subunit ribosomal RNA
Source: RNAcentral